GGGCUUGACAUAAUCAAAUGUAAAUAUGGCCAUCUGCGUGUGUGAAUGAUGGGAGAGGUUUUUUUUAAAUGGGCCAGAAUCCCCUAGCCUCACUAGAAGCUUCAUCUCUAAGUCAAGGGCCUUUCCAGUGUCUGAAAGAGCAAGGGAUCUCCCUGAUGAACUACGCCUGGGUUUCCUCCUGUAAAGACCUCGUGUGACAGGGUGGUCAGACGGCCGGCACAUCCUGAGAUACACCCAGUCCGGCACAUGGAGUACUCCGUCGAUGGGAACACAACAAUGGCACGCAAGCUGUGGCCGGGGCUGCACAACACACAAAGAUGGACUGACAGGAUUGCGUUCAUUCCGAUAAACUGGAGCACUAAAAUUCCUAAGUGGCAGAAUGUCUGUCAAGGUUUCCCCUGCAAUAUCCCCUAAACUUUGGCACAAUGUGCAAGGUUCACUCUGCUGGGUGGAAAACACAGAAUCUCCUGGAGAUUGUUACUAUGCAACAGCUAACAGGCCCCCUGCAUGUGUAGGCAUGUGCUAUACAUGUACAUUGACCUCAAAUAUUUCAGGUGCUUAACUCAGUCUGCCUGGAGUGUUAUGUGGGCUGGGUUAGUGACAUGGUUGUCUACUCUUGC
This is a long non-coding RNA of Alosa alosa (allis shad), 620 nucleotides long. RefSeq lists it as uncharacterized. The transcript has 3 exons. Lineage: Eukaryota; Metazoa; Chordata; Actinopteri; Clupeiformes; Clupeidae. The record is from RefSeq and is a predicted model, not a curated record.